This 124-nucleotide small RNA is filed under the name Marmota monax (woodchuck). The record is from RNAcentral. Lineage: Eukaryota; Metazoa; Chordata; Mammalia; Rodentia; Sciuridae.
GCUGGGUGCGGUGGUGCAUGCCUGUAAUCCCAGCUGCUCAGGAGGCUGAGGCAGGAGCAUCUUGAGUUCAAAGUCAGCCUCACCAACUCGAGGCACUAAACAACUCAGUGAGACCCUGUCUCUA